RNAcentral lists this ribosomal RNA (354 nucleotides) under uncultured archaeon. RNAcentral describes it as "bacterial SSU rRNA". It matches the Rfam family "Archaeal small subunit ribosomal RNA", at positions 102 to 461 of the family's 1478-position model. The record is from RNAcentral.
GGACAACCUACCCUAAGGAGGGGGAUAACCCCGGGAAACUGGGGAUAAUACCCCAUAGACUAUGGAUGCUGGAAUGCUCUGUAGUUGAAAGGUCCGCCGCCUUAGGAUGGGUCUGCGGCCGAUUAGGUUGUUGUUGGGGUAACGGCCCAACAAGCCUGUAAUCGGUACGGGUUGUGGGAGCAAGAGCCCGGAGAUGGAUUCUGAGACACGAAUCCAGGCCCUACGGGGCGCAGCAGGCGCGAAAACUUUACAAUGCGAGAAAUCGUGAUAAGGGAACUCCGAGUGCCCGUAAAAUCGGGCUGUUAAUCUGUUUAAAUAACAGGUUGAGAAAGGGCCGGGCAAGACCGGUGCCAG